Molecule: long non-coding RNA, 302 nt
Filed under: Manihot esculenta (cassava)
Lineage: Eukaryota; Viridiplantae; Streptophyta; Magnoliopsida; Malpighiales; Euphorbiaceae
Description: long non-coding RNA (MESC_LNC010930)
Source: RNAcentral
AGCCAUGUGUGCCAUAAUUUGUUGUUUUCUUGCUAAAAAGGUUUCUUGUUUAGUAAUAGCGGCUGGGCUAGGUGUUUUGCAAUAUUGUGGAUUGUUUACAAAGAACUGGUCUACUGCUAUUUGGUCGCAACCUUGGAGAUUAGUUUUAGUCCACCAUUUAGUUUUGUAUUUUCUGACUAACAUGGGAAUUUGGAAAUUGUCAAUAAUUUGGUCUUUAAUAUGGUAUUCGGUCAUGAAAAUCCAAGGUAUAUGAAAGUAAUGAGAAUAAAUAAGCCACUGGGGAGAGCAAAUAAUGGUUUCUG